Molecule: ribosomal RNA, 254 nt
Filed under: uncultured bacterium
Lineage: Bacteria
Description: partial 16S ribosomal RNA
Rfam family: Bacterial small subunit ribosomal RNA
Source: RNAcentral
UACGGGGGGGGCAAGCGUUGUUCGGAUUUACUGGGCGUAAAGGGAGUGUAGGCGGUUGGUCAAGUCGGAUGUGAAAGCUUCACCACUUAACGGGAAGAGGUCAUCCGAAACUGGCCGGCUAGAGUAGGGUAGAGGCAAGCGGAAUUCCUGGUGUAGCGGUGGAAUGUGUAGAUAUCAGGAAGAACAUCGGUGGCGAAGGCGGCUUGCUGGGCCCUUACUGACGCUGAGACUCGAAAGCGUGGGGAGCAAACGGG